RNAcentral lists this transfer RNA (67 nucleotides) under Adrastus rachifer. RNAcentral describes it as "tRNA-Pro". The record is from RNAcentral. Lineage: Eukaryota; Metazoa; Arthropoda; Insecta; Coleoptera; Elateridae.
CAGAGAAUAGUUUAAUUUGAAAAUUUUAAUUUUGGAGAUUAAUGAUAAGAGUAACUCUUUUCUCUGA